Molecule: ribosomal RNA, 301 nt
Filed under: uncultured bacterium
Lineage: Bacteria
Description: partial 16S ribosomal RNA
Rfam family: Bacterial small subunit ribosomal RNA
Source: RNAcentral
CAGUCGCCACGGGAAUACGAAGGGCGCAAGCGUUACUCGGAAUUACUGGGCGUAAAGCGUGUGUAGGUGGUUGUUUAAGUCUGUCGUGAAAGCCCUGGGCUCAACCUGGGAAUUGCGAUGGAUACUGGGCGACUAGAGUGCGGCAGAGGGGGAUGAAUUUCCGGUGUAGCAGUGAAAUGCGUAGAGAUCGGAAGGAACAUCUGUGGCGAAGGCGACUAUCUGGGCCAACACUGACACUGAGGCACGAAAGCGUGGGGAGCAAACAGGAUUAGAUACCCGCGUAGUCCCUGUCUCUUAUACA